Trachymyrmex septentrionalis is the source of this 1091-nucleotide long non-coding RNA. RefSeq lists it as uncharacterized. Lineage: Eukaryota; Metazoa; Arthropoda; Insecta; Hymenoptera; Formicidae. The transcript is spliced from 4 exons. The record is from RefSeq and is a predicted model, not a curated record.
UCAAUUGGUGCAAUAAUUUUCUAUGCUUCACGGCUGAUAUGCCCAUUUCUUAGUGUAUAUAUAGUUCAGUGGUGGUACACUUAUAAUUUGAUGGUAUAUUGUGCAUUGAAAUUAUGACAGGUCAAGGAAAAAAAUGGCGGCGUCUGCCAAUCAGUAAUACCGUUUUUUCAAUUUGAAGGCUUCUCACAGUUAUUCCAAAAAUUCAAGAAUAUUGAAGAAUUUUAUCAUUAUACAAGAAUGAUGCCCGAUAGGUUUAAUUAGUUUUAGAAAAGACAAAAUUAUCUGUCUAAAACAUAGCAGGAGACAUUCAUUACCAUCCUUGAAUUCAUUACCAUACAGAAUUGAGACUGGCUGCUACUCUAGGAUAUCUUGUUCAUAAAGAUUGUGUAUGGUCAAAGAAGUGGUCUUUUUUUAUUCAUUCAAUAGUAAUAAGAUUAUCCCUGAGAUAUGCGAUGCAAUUAUAAAAGCUCUACAGCCAAUAUAUUUAUUAUCCAUGAUAAAAGAGGAUUGACGUAAUGUAGUUGAUAGAUUUUAUGAGAAGUAGAAUUUCCCUAAUUGUAUAAGGGUACUUGGUGUAAGAAUCUAGACUUCAAAAAACUCAAGCUUUCUUCUUCAAUAGCAAGAAAUUUUUUUCAAUUGUUCUCAUGGCAAUCUGUGAUACAGCUUAUGUUUUCAAAAGGAUGGACCAUGGCGAGCCCACACUUACAAAAAAUUACUGACGGCAUUACUCCUAAGCUUACGGUAUGUUGAAGGUUUAUAAAUUGGGUAAUUCUUUCAGAAUUAUUGUUUCCUCUAUUAAUAAUCCGUGGUAUAAUUUUUCUCUUUUGCUACAUUAGAUUAAAUGUAGUAUUCCAGAGACACGCUUUUACAUAAAAAAUAGCUUCCUCUUAGUCAAACUUAAAGGGAUACACUUAUCGACAGAACGCUCAUUCCGUAUUUUGCAUCCAUUUCGUUUUCCUUAUAUAGAAUAAAAAAUCUCUAGAAUAAAAAAAACGCAAUGGCUAUGGGAAAGUACAAACACUGUAUAAAAAUCUAAAAAUUGUAAAUUAUAGUUUCCUGUUUUCUACUGUUACUACAUAAGUUAUUUCUUA